GACGUAGGGUGCGAGCGUUGUCCGGAGUUAUUGGGCGUAAAGCGCGCGCAGGCGGCCUCGCGCGCCCGACGUGAAAGCCCCCGGCUUAACCGGGGAGGGUCGUUGGGGACGGCGGGGCUUGAGGGCGGGAGAGGUCGGUGGAAUUCCCGGUGUAGUGGUGAAAUGCGUAGAGAUCGGGAGGAACACCUGUGGCGAAGGCGGCCGACUGGGCCGACCCUGACGCUGAGGCGCGAAGGCGUGGGGAGCGAACGGG
This 253-nucleotide ribosomal RNA is filed under the name uncultured bacterium. Its description in RNAcentral is "partial 16S ribosomal RNA". It matches the Rfam family "Bacterial small subunit ribosomal RNA", at positions 524 to 776 of the family's 1533-position model. The record is from RNAcentral.